GACGAACGCUGGCGGCGUGCUUAACACAUGCAAGUCGAGCGGUAAGGCCCUUUCGGGGGUACACGAGCGGCGAACGGGUGAGUAACACGUGGGUGACCUGCCCUCAGCUCUGGGAUAAGCCUGGGAAACUGGGUCUAAUACUGGAUAUGACUCCACGGUGCAUGUCGGUGGGGUGGAAAGCCUUGUGCGGCUGAGGAUGGGCCCGCGGCCUAUCAGCUUGUUGGUGGGGUGANGGCCUACCAAGGCGACGACGGGUAGCCGGCCUGAGAGGGCGACCGGCCACACUGGGACUGAGACACGGCCCAGACUCCUACGGGAGGCAGCAGUGGGGAAUCUUGCGCAAUGGGCGAAAGCCUGACGCAGCGACGCCGCGUGAGGGAUGACGGCCU
This 389-nucleotide ribosomal RNA is filed under the name uncultured bacterium. Its description in RNAcentral is "bacterial SSU rRNA". It matches the Rfam family "Bacterial small subunit ribosomal RNA", at positions 28 to 417 of the family's 1533-position model. The record is from RNAcentral.